Non-coding RNA from Trichomonas vaginalis G3, 910 nucleotides. The record is from Rfam. NCBI's taxonomy places the organism in Eukaryota, Parabasalia, Trichomonadida, Trichomonadidae.
AUUAAGCCAUGCAAGUGUUAGUUCAGGUAACGAAACUGCGAAUAGCUCAUUAAUACGCUCAGAAUCUAUUUGGCGGCGACCAACAGGUCUUAAAUGGAUAGCAGCAGCAACUCUGGUGCUAAUACAUGCGAUUGUUUCUCCAGAUGUGAAUUAUGGAGGAAAAGUUGACCUCAUCAGAGGCACGCCAUUCGACUGAGUGACCUAUCAGCUUGUACUUAGGGUCUUUACCUAGGUAGGCUAUCACGGGUAACGGGCGGUUACCGUCGGACUGCCGGAGAAGGCGCCUGAGAGAUAGCGACUAUAUCCACGGGUAGCAGCAGGCGCGAAACUUUCCCACUCGAGACUUUCGGAGGAGGUAAUGACCAGUUCCAUUGGUGCCUUUUGGUACUGUGGAUAGGGGUACGGUUUUCCACCGUACCGAAACCUAGCAGAGGGCCAGUCUGGUGCCAGCAGCUGCGGUAAUUCCAGCUCUGCGAGUUUGCUCCCAUAUUGUUGCAGUUAAAACGCCCGUAGUCUGAAUUGGCCAGCAAUGGUCGUACGUAUUUUUACGUUCACUGUGAACAAAUCAGGACGCUUAGAGUAUGGCCACAUGAAUGACUCAGCGCAGUAUGAAGUCUUUGUUUUCUUCCGAAAACAAGCUCAAUGAGAGCCAUCGGGGGUAGAUCUAUCUCAUGACGAGUGGUGGAAUACUUUGACUCAUGAGAGAGAAGCUGAGGCGAAGGCGUCUACCUAGAGGGUUUCUGUCGAUCAAGGGCGAGAGUAGGAGUAUCCAACAGGAUUAGAGACCCUGGUAGUUCCUACCUUAAACGAUGCCGACAGGAGUUUGUCAUUUGUUAAUGGCAGAAUCUUUGGAGAAAUCAUAGUUCUUGGGCUCUGGGGGAACUACGACCGCAGGCUGAACUUGAAGAUU